This 453-nucleotide ribosomal RNA is filed under the name uncultured bacterium. Its description in RNAcentral is "bacterial SSU rRNA". It matches the Rfam family "Bacterial small subunit ribosomal RNA", at positions 8 to 507 of the family's 1533-position model. The record is from RNAcentral.
AGAGUUUGAUCCUGGCUCAGAACGAACGCUGGCGGCAGGCCUAACACAUGCAAGUCGAACGCCCUAGCAAUAGGGAGUGGCAGACGGGUGAGUAACACGUGGGAACCUUCCCUAUAGUAUGGAAUAGCCCAGGGAAACUUGGAGUAAUACCGUAUACGCCCGAGAGGGGAAAGAUUUAUCGCUAUAGGAUGGGCCCGCGUAGGAUUAGCUAGUUGGUGAGGUAAUGGCUCACCAAGGCGACGAUCCUUAGCCGGUCUGAGAGGACGACCAGCCACACUGGGACUGAGACACGGCCCAGACUCCUACGGGAGGCAGCAGUGGGGAAUAUUGGACAAUGGGCGCAAGCCUGAUCCAGCCAUGCCGCGUGAGUGAUGAAGGCCUUAGGGUUGUAAAGCUCUUUUGCCGGGGACGAUAAUGACGGUACCCGGAGAAUAAGUCCCGGCUAACUUCGUG